GACGAACGCUGGCGGCGUGCUUAACACAUGCAAGUCGAACGGGAUCCAAAGGCUUUUUGUUUUUGGUGAGAGUGGCGAACGGGUGAGUAACACGUGAGUAACCUGCCCCCUUCUUUUGGAUAACCGCAUGAAAGUGUGGCUAAUACAGGAUAUUCCAGGCUGGUCGCAUGAUUGGUUUGGGAAAUGGUUUUGUCUGGUGGGGGAUGGGCUCGCGGCCUAUCAGCUUGUUGGUGGGGUGAUGGCCUACCAAGGCGGUGACGGGUAGCCGGCCUGGGAGGGUGGGCGGGGAAAGGAGGACUGGGCUACGGUCCAGACUCAUGCGGGAGUCGGCAGUGGGGGAUUUUGGACAAUGGGCGCAAGGCUGAUGCAGCGGCGCCGCGUGAGGGUUGGAGGACUUCGGGUUGUAAUCCUCUUUCGAUGGGGUGAAAGGCCAUGCUUUGGGUGUGGUUGAUUUGAACUAGUAAAGAAGUACCGGCUAACUACGUG
This 486-nucleotide ribosomal RNA is filed under the name uncultured bacterium. RNAcentral's name for it is "partial 16S ribosomal RNA". It matches the Rfam family "Bacterial small subunit ribosomal RNA", at positions 28 to 507 of the family's 1533-position model. The record is from RNAcentral.